CGCCGGGUCGCUCCCGAGCUCCGCGUUUCGUUCGCCGACCCCUGGAAGACUGCCUGGAGGCCCGGGCGCCACCCAACCACUGGCUAGGCCGACACUUUGCGCGGACCCUGGGUGUAAAAGGUCCCCGGGUCUCUGGUCCCGACGGAGCUGUGAGGGAGAUCAACCACGCCCCCUCCGUGGGCACCGUGGCGGCAGGGAAGGAAAAGGGCUCUGGGUCUCGACUCUCUUCGGGUUAAGAACCGACGGGGUUUAUUCUAUGCAAGGUGUUAUUAACUCCAACUCUCCCUUUCGUUCAUUCAUUCCAUAUAUGUUGAACGACAACUUAGUGCCAAAUGCCGGCAUGCUGAAACUCAGAGAGGGAAGAUGUCUUGCAAGUACAGCAGCCACACCCAGAGUUUCGCUCUUGUUCCCUGGGCUGCAGUGCAGUGGCACCAUCUCGGCUCACCGCAACCUCCGCCUCCCAAGUUCAAGCGAUUCUCCUGCCUCAGCCUCCCCAGUAUCUGGGAUUACAGUAAAAUUAAAACAGGCACAAUGAUAUCCUGGAUGACAAGAGCUGGAGGCUGUCAUUCUAACAAUGUAGUGAGACUGGCUGUCUUGUCUCAUGCCCACCCCUGGAAACAUGCGCAGGAACUCAAAGCACCUAGCACAGAGGAAGUGUCUGGUUGUUUUAAAGGAAAAACAAAACCAAAAAAAGCACCUCCUGCUCUGACCACCCCUAUUUCCAGUUUUCCCUUUUGGCACAGCAAAGAUGACCUUGGGACUGAGGUGGAACCAUGUAAUUCUUCGUAAUCCCAGAGUCAGGCAGACCUGGGUAUGAAUUCCAUCUUUACUAACUGUGUGACUCACUGUGUGGCCAUGCCAAGUUACGAGGUCUCUCUGUUUCCUCCUUCCUAAAAAGGAGAUAACAUCCAUCUCGAAGGAAGAUCUGGCCUGAAGAGCAGUCACUCUUGCCUGGCAUGCAGAGAAUGCCAAAUCAUAUUAAUGACUGGCCAGAAUGAAGUGCGUGACCUCAUCACUCCAUAACUGACAGGAAACAACUGCUAGGGCAAGAAAAAAGGGUCUCCAGUGAGUAUUCUUGUCCACACACAUCCCCACUCAC
Long non-coding RNA from Homo sapiens (human), 1099 nucleotides. Ensembl annotates it as RPL26L1 antisense RNA 1. Its record names the gene RPL26L1-AS1. The record is from Ensembl. NCBI's taxonomy places the organism in Eukaryota, Metazoa, Chordata, Mammalia, Primates, Hominidae.